RNAcentral lists this transfer-messenger RNA (70 nucleotides) under Deltaproteobacteria bacterium. RNAcentral's name for it is "partial transfer-messenger RNA". It matches the Rfam family "transfer-messenger RNA", at positions 303 to 374 of the family's 374-position model. From Rfam's summary of the family: Bacterial tmRNA, also known as 10Sa RNA or SsrA, is named for its dual tRNA and mRNA-like properties. Its role is to liberate the mRNA from a stalled ribosome. Lineage: Bacteria; Pseudomonadati; Myxococcota; Myxococcia. The record is from RNAcentral.
ACAGGCUAUGUAUGUAGAAGCCCUGCCGGAAGGUUCUCGGACGCGGGUUCGAUUCCCGCCGCCUCCACCA